This 76-nucleotide transfer RNA is filed under the name Acidimicrobiales bacterium. Its description in RNAcentral is "tRNA-Ala". It matches the Rfam family "tRNA". From Rfam's summary of the family: Transfer RNA (tRNA) molecules are approximately 80 nucleotides in length. Their secondary structure includes four short double-helical elements and three loops (D, anti-codon, and T loops). Further hydrogen bonds mediate the characteristic L-shaped molecular structure. tRNAs have two regions of fundamental functional importance: the anti-codon, which is responsible for specific mRNA codon recognition, and the 3' end, to which the tRNAs corresponding amino acid is attached (by aminoacyl-tRNA synthetases). tRNAs cope with the degeneracy of the genetic code in two manners: having more than one tRNA (with a specific anti-codon) for a particular amino acid; and 'wobble' base-pairing, i.e. permitting non-standard base-pairing at the 3rd anti-codon position. The record is from RNAcentral. Lineage: Bacteria; Bacillati; Actinomycetota; Acidimicrobiia; Acidimicrobiales.
GGGGCUUUAGCUCAGUUGGUAGAGCGCUUCCAUGGCAUGGAAGAGGUCAGGGGUUCAAUUCCCCUAAGCUCCACAA